UAACACAUGCAAGUCGUACGAGAAGGUUCUUUCGGGAACUGGAGAGUGGCGCACGGGUGAGUAACGCGUGGGGACCUACCUUUUAGUGGGGGAUAACGGUUGGAAACGACCGCUAAUACCGCAUACGCCCUUUUGGGGAAAGAUUUAUCGCUAAAAGAUGGACCCGCGUUGGAUUAGAUAGUUGGUGAGGUAACGGCUCACCAAGUCUUCGAUCCAUAGCUGGUUUGAGAGGAUGAUCAGCCACACUGGGACUGAGACACGGCCCAGACUCCUACGGGAGGCAGCAGUGGGGAAUAUUGGACAAUGGGCGGAAGCCUGAUCCAGCCAUGCCGCGUGAGUGAAGAAGGCCUUCGGGUUGUAAAGCUCUUUCAGAUGCGAAGAUGAUGACGGUAGCAUCAGAAGAAGCCCCGGCUAAUUUCGUGCCAGCAGCCGCGGUAAUAAGGGCGAAUUC
RNAcentral lists this ribosomal RNA (451 nucleotides) under uncultured Alphaproteobacteria bacterium. Its description in RNAcentral is "bacterial SSU rRNA". It matches the Rfam family "Bacterial small subunit ribosomal RNA", at positions 49 to 537 of the family's 1533-position model. The record is from RNAcentral. Lineage: Bacteria; Pseudomonadati; Pseudomonadota; Alphaproteobacteria.